This 170-nucleotide ribosomal RNA is filed under the name Sphaerocystis sp. CCCryo135-01. RNAcentral's name for it is "partial 18S ribosomal RNA". It matches the Rfam family "Eukaryotic small subunit ribosomal RNA", at positions 1662 to 1831 of the family's 1831-position model. Lineage: Eukaryota; Viridiplantae; Chlorophyta; Chlorophyceae; Chlamydomonadales; Sphaerocystidaceae. The record is from RNAcentral.
GUACACACCUCCCGUCGUUCCAACCGAUUCAUUGUGGUGGUGAAGUGUUAGGAUCGGCGUCAGUUUGUGGCAACAUUCAAUGAGGCUGAAAAGUUCCCUAAACCCUCCCACCUAGAGGAAGGAGAAGUCGUAACAAGGUUUCCGUAGGUGAACCUGCGGAAGGAUCAUUG